Molecule: ribosomal RNA, 253 nt
Filed under: uncultured bacterium
Lineage: Bacteria
Description: partial 16S ribosomal RNA
Rfam family: Bacterial small subunit ribosomal RNA
Source: RNAcentral
UACAGAGGUCCCAAGCGUUGUUCGGAUUCACUGGGCGUAAAGGGUGCGUAGGUGGCCGCAUAAGUCUGAUGUGAAAUCUCGAAGCUUAACUUCGAAACUGCAUUGGAUACUAUACGGCUGGAGGGUUGGAGGGGGGACUGGAAUUCUCGGUGUAGCAGUGAAAUGCGUAGAUAUCGAGAGGAACACCAGUGGCGAAGGCGAGUCCCUGGACAACUCCUGACACUGAGGCACGAAAGCUAGGGGAGCAAACAGG